This 17796-nucleotide long non-coding RNA is filed under the name Elaeis guineensis (African oil palm). RNAcentral describes it as "long non-coding RNA (EGUI_LNC013244)". Lineage: Eukaryota; Viridiplantae; Streptophyta; Magnoliopsida; Arecales; Arecaceae. The record is from RNAcentral.
AGCUGUUCAAACUGAGGAGGUUAAUUUAUUAUUUGUUCUGUUGCAGAGUUUGUGCUGCAAAUCACAGUUUUACCCUUGUGGAAGGGUUUGUCUCUAAUUUAUAUCAUAGUUUUUGUUUGUAUACCUGUGUUCCUAAUUUCCAUAAUUCAAUCUUGAUUUGGAAUCUGUCGAUCUAUAUUCUCAGCACCGCGAUUUUAAUUUUGGGUGACUAUCUUAGCAACCCUUUUGUUUGCUUUUCAGCACCUAAGUUUGAUCAGUGAAGGCAACAUGGAGGGUUAGAGUUAAGGAAGAAAUUUUCUUGAAUCACUUCACAGAUAAAGUUUGGGAUCUUUCAGUUUAUGUUGUGUGGGUUGGAUCCAUAAGAUACCACAGCUUUUGAUGUUCUAUAAUUCACCGAAAGGAGUUAGUAGUUCGAUCCUUUUGAUUCUUAUCCUCCUUGUAACAGGCAUCCUGAGCAAUACGUUGUUUUACAUAUAAAUUUGAUUAUCCUAUUGUUUCUCUCUAUCUACAAUGUGUCAUUAAGGAGUUGAAGAAUAGUUAACUAGUAUGAGAAAAUCUCAUUUUUUGGUAUGGUAUUUAUUGUAUUAUUGUUAUCUAUUCAGACUGUUAGUUUCUUGAUCGCUUGUUUAUCAAGAAUGUGGCAUAUAGGAUGCACAUUAUUUUUUGAUAAGGACUGACUCGAACUUUUUGAAUCUUGUUGGUAACUGCUGCACUGAAGGGAAAAUGCAAACAAGGAGCAGGGGGAGGGCAGGGUAAGGAAACACGGGUGGGGAAACAUGGAUGGUCUAACAUACCUCAUGCAUGGGGACAUUGAGGGAAUUGGUGUGACAUAGUAGAAUAUCAAUGGGAUUAUUGACGGUUUUUGUGUACUAUAGGUUAUGGAGGUAAGUAGAUUAUGGAUUUGGUUAUCUGUGAUGAUCCUUUUUUUUAUUUUCAUAGGGUUGAAGGUAUCUGCUAGCUUGUAUUCAUCUUUAUGCAGUGGCAGUUCGUAAAGCAUAUAAUAUGGAGUCUAUUUUGUUAAGUGGCUUUGUAGCUUUAUCUCUUGGUUCCAGAAUAUAUUCAUUCCCAUUGAUCUGGUAAGCUUGUGACCAUCUCUCAUUUCUUUGACCUGCUCCUUGAUCAUUAUAGGAUGUAUGCACUAAUUGGAAUAUGAUGUGACCGUUUUCACUGCCAUCAUCCUUAGCCUUGAGUUUAGAAUCAGUUAUAGUUGUUUUCCCCUGAUACUUAAGAGUUUAUAUGAUAGGUUAACUUGUUAUUUCUGUUGUUGCAGAAAAGCCAGUGCAACUGGGAAACAAUCUAUUUCAGGGGUAUCUUGAUCUUGAACAUUAUAUAAAAACUGGAGUUUAAUGUUGUGAUUUUUUUGUUAAGGGGAUCGAAAUGUUUGUUAGUGGAGUUUACUAUAUUUUUUUGUUCACAAACUAUUCACAUGGAAGAUUAAUUUAUUAUUUCUUCUGUCGCAGACGUGCUUAUAUUGCAGGAUGCAAUUUUUCCAAGGUAGAAGAGCAGAGUGUGUCCUUUAUAUCCUAGUCAUUGUUUAUGUGCAUUGGUGUACCAAAUAGUCGCCUUGUUCCAUUAUUGGCUUGUGUUCUCUUAAUGGAUCUGGUCCCUUGGUAGAUUUUGGAAAAUCCUGGAUUAUGAUUUGUAAUGAGCUUCAUUUUCUUCCUGUUAGAUUUGCACUAUAUUUUUUCUUGUAUUGAUAAUCGUGCUGUUAUAUAUUGUAGGCAAUGGUGUGUCUUAGAACUGAUAUAAGUUCUUCUAUUGAUAAGUGACUUAGUAGCUGCUACACUUAAAUCUGGGUUUGUAUUUUCAUCCUUGUUCCAAUUACUCAAAUAUUUCUUUAUUAUUGGUAAUCCUGUCAUUUGCCUCACCAGAACUGUGAUUUGAUUCGUGAAGGCAUAAUGGAGCAAUCCAAGUGGAGCAGUGAUUUUUCGUGCAUUGGUGCAUAUGGGAAUUGAUAUAUAUUCUGCUACUGCUGACUGACUUAGUAUCUGUUAGUCUAUUCUGCUCAUCUUUGUUCCUCAUGCUCUAACUUUUGAUAUGGAUUAGUGUUCAUCUCUUUUGCUUCACUAGAAAAUUGAUUUGAUCUGUGAAGGCACCAUGGGGGAAUCUAAGGGAAGAAGCAAUUUGUAAUUAUGAGAGUAGUACUGUAGGUGACAUUUCAGCUGAUGAACGGAAGGGGCUCACUGGCUUAUGUCAUUUCAUUGUAUUUUAAUCAUCAUUUACAUACUGUUGGCUUCUUCAAUUUCAUUAUCAGUAUCAAGAUUAUUGGUGGUUUUACUCUAUUCUUGCUUGCAAGCGGAUGUAGAUUUCUUGAAGAUUUGCAUUUAUUAUGGUAGUGAGUUUCUUGAAGAUUUGCAGCAAUUUUUUUGACUUGGUUUUAGGGUUUACAGAAUUAGAAGCUGUUUGUUCUUGUUUGUGUGUUUGACAAUUGAAUCCGGUUUCGUGUGAUCUUCUUUUUGAAAAUAAUUCAAGUGGUCGAGUUUUUUUAUGGAACUGGGAGUGCUCUUUUGUUAAUCUACAGGCAUUUCUUGUAACGUGUUUUGAUCAGUUUUUGAAUAUCGCCAAUCCAACAAUAUGAGUUCAGACUUGCUUAUGAUUUUCCUGCUGCCAGUUUUACAGUUUUUGGCAUUCAUUUUUACAAUAUUAUUUGCAGUUUGAAAGCAUCACACAAGCAUUAUUUUGCAGCCUGAAGAGUGUUUUCUGAUGUUUCUGAUGCUAAUACUCAAAAGAGAUGUUCCUGAUUCCAAUUCAAUGUUACUUUAGAUUCCAUCUUCCGGUGUUGGACAAGAUAGGCAUGAUUCAGAGGCUGAAAUUGAGAUUGAAGAUUUGCAGUAGUUGAGGAAUCUUCUGUGACUUGGUUAUUAGGGUUCACAAAAUUAGGAGCUGUUUGUUCUUGUUUGAGGAUUUGACAGUUGAAUCUGGUUUAUUGUGAUUUAGUUUUCCUUUUUUCCCUAAAAAAGAAUCCAAGUGGUCAGGUUUUUUUCUUAUGGAAGUGGUAGUGCUCCAUUGGUAAUCUGCAGGAAUCAGCCAUGGUGUAUUCUGAUUGGACCUUUGAGUAUCGCCAAUCUGACAGUCCGAGUUCAGAUUUACUUCAUCAUUUUCUUGUAUUCAGUUGGAGCACUGGUGCCGGGGUUAUGAGUUUUAAGUAUUUAUUUUAAAAAUACUUUCAGCGUGCAAUCAUCGUGGAAGUGGUUUCUGAUGUUUCUGAUGUUGAUACUCAUGCUCGAUGCUUCUGAUUGUGAGUUGUUAUUUCAGUUUCCAUAUUCUGAUGUUGGACAUGAGAAGUCUUUCAUGGGGGUUUCUUCUUCUUUAUAGUUGUUUCUCUUCGUGUUUUUAUUUUUGUUUUUUCAAUUAAGGUUUUGUAUGGUUAUUAUCAUCUGUCUAUUCCCUGGGGAUUUCUUGAAGAUUUGCAGUAAUCAAGGGAACCGGGGAAUUCUUGGAGAUUUGCAGUGAAUUUCUUGAAGAUUGCAGUAAUUAAGGUAGCGAAUUUCUUGAGGAUUUGCAACAGUUAGGUAUUUCUGUAUGACAUGGUUUAGGGUUUGCAGAAUUAGAAGCAGUUUGUUCUUCUUUGAGAAUUCAUCGAUAUGAGGUUUGAACCUGUUUUUUCAUGAUUUUGGGUUUUUUUCUAAAAGGAAUUUAAGUGGUUCAGGUAUAUUAUGAAACUGGAAGUGCCUCUUCAUUAAUCUACAGGAAUCAGCAGUGUUGUGUUUUAAUUGGAUUCUGAUUGUUGCCCAUCCUACUGUACAAGUUCAGGCUUGCUUCAUUAUUUUCUUAUAUUUAGUUGAAGAAUUGUUGCGGGAUUAUGAAAUUUUAGUUUUUUUAAAAUAUAUUAAGGUCAGUUUGAAAACAUCACAGAAGCAUUAUCUUGCGGACCAGAGAAGCAUGAUUUAGAGGCUGGAAUUCAGAUAGAUUGAUUUCUUGUGAAGGGGGUUUGUCUAUUGCAUGGAUAUGAUGAAAAUAUUAUUGUGCAGGAAACAAAGACUUCUGAUGAUGUUCAUGCCUAAUCAUGGUUCUUGAUUCUUGAUGGUUGCUUUAGGUUCCAUCGUGAAAGGGAUGCCCUUGUUAUCCAAUUCAAACAAAAGAGAUGAUGUAGAGGCAGGGAAUCAGAUUGUUUCUUUUUGAGUGGAUUCCUUUUCCUUUUGUAUUAUUCUUUAUCAGAUUUUGUGAUUUGAAUAAUUGGUUUGAUUCUGAGAAGCAAUAUGCGAUCAGAGAGAUGAUUCAUUUAACCUCCUGUUUUUGAUGAAAUUUGCAGUUAUAUGCAUUGAAGUGUCAAAUUGCACUGAUUCUUUUUCCUGAUUAGAGCUAUCACAUGCUGGUUUGAUAGAAUGAUAAAUUCGAUUUCCUUGGCUUGCUGUCACUUCAUAGGUUAAGCAUUGUGGGAACAUGAUAUCUCUACUCUUCCUGCUGCUUAAUUGGUUGUUACUUGAGCUUACAUUGCUGACUGGUUCAUCUUGGUUUACCAGAAUACCGAGUCAUUACUUGAUGGAGAUGCAGAGGCUGGAGAAUGGAUCUCGGAUGGGAUUUGUUCAGCAAUAUAUGUUUCGGUUAUGGUGUACUUUCAUCAUGUUGAUCAAUCAGGGUUAUUGACCAAUUAACUUAGUGCAUUUGCUUUUUAUGAUUCAGAAGAUGUCCUACUCCUUUUUGUCCCACGUGUUGUUGAGUGUGGCCAUUACUUCUGUUGUUACUGUAGUAUUUGGAAGGAUGUGGUGGGCAUCAUCUUCAAAAGGUUGGAUCAUUCGAUGCCUCCCUAGAUACACGGUAUUUGAGGUAUUCAUUAUUGGUCAGGACUACUUUUUCCCCUUGUAUAUUGAUUUUAUAGGACUCAUCCACCUUCCAAGUCCUUUCACAGUUCUUCUUCAUUCUUGGGUUGUAUUAUUGGCUCAUCUUUCUGAUCCAUUAGUGCUCACAAUCAUGGUUUAUGCGUUAUUUGCGGUUCUCUGGUGUAUUUGUGCUCUUGCAUGUCUUUUCCAUUCUCCCUCCAAGCAAGUUUAGGUUUGUCUGUUAUAAUUCUGAUACACUGCAUCUGCUACUAUACUUUCGGUGGUGAUCCCUUUUACAUCGGGUGCUUAUCUAGAUCUGGGAUAAUCUUGAUUUCUUGGUUAAUGUCAUGCAAUAUAUCAUCUUGUGAUUGAUGUUGGCAGUUGUUUCAUGAUUUCCUGUUGCAUCGGUGGCCUGGCGAUUCUCUCAUUUUCGACCAACACCUUGAGUUCUUAAUACAAUCUGGCUCCAUUGCAGAGUAUAUUUGUUUUUUCAUGAAGGGUUUUCUCGCUUUGAUUAUUGAAUUGAUUGUGCUAAUUUUUGGCCUUUAUGCUUUUAGUUCAGGUCUUUCUUAGUUUGUUAUUUGUGAUGUUGCAGAAGAGCUUACGCAACUUGGGAAAAUCUUGCUGAAGGGGUAUCUUCAUCUGAUAAUUGAAGGAAGCGCAGAGGAAAUGGAAUGCAAUGAUAUGUUUUUUUUUUUUUUUUACUGAAUUGAGUUUCUAAUCUUGAUAGCGGGGUUCAUUAUGCUUGCCUUUUCGUGCGGUAGCUGCUCAUGUGGAAACAUAAAGGUUAAUUUAUUAUUUGUGCUGUUGCAGUUUAGCUUGUGCUGCAGGAUACAAUUUUGCCCCAUAUUAGCCAAUAUAGACGAUUCAUAUCAUUGUUUGUAUAUGAUGCCUAUAUGUUUUUAAUCACCCUUUUUUCUAAAAGGAAUUUAAGUGGUUCAGGUAUAUUAUGAAACUGGAAGUGCCUCUUCAUUAAUCUACAGGAAUCAGCAGUGUUGUGUUUUAAUUGGAUUCUGAUUGUUGCCCAUCCUACUGUACAAGUUCAGGCUUGCUUCAUGAUUUUCUUAUAUUUGGUUGAAGAAUUGUUGGGGGAUUAUGAAAUUUUAGUUUUUUUUAAAUAUAUUAAGGUCCAUUUGAAAAUACCACAGAAGCAUUAUCUUGCGGACCAGAGAUGCAUGAUUUAGAGGCUGGAAUUCAGAUAGAUUGAUUUCUUGUGAAGGGGGUUUGUCUAUCGCAUGGAUAUGAUGAAAAUAUUAUUGUGCAGGAAGCAAAGACUUCUGAUGAUGUUCAUGCCUAAUCAUGGUUCUUGAUUCUUGAUGGUUGCUUUAGGUUCCAUCGUGAAAGGGAUGCCCUUGUUAUCCAAUUCAAACAAAAGAGAUGGUGUAGAUGCAGGGAAUCAGAUUGUUUCUUUUCGAGUGGAUUCCUUUUCCUUUUGUAUUAUUCUUUAUCAGAUAUUGUGUUUUGAAUAAUUGGUUUGAUUCUGAGAAGAUAUAUGCGAUCAGAGAGAUGAUUCAUUUAACCUCCUGUUUUUUAUGAAUUUUGCAGUUAUAUUCAUUGAAGUGUCAAAUUGCACUGAUUCUUUUACCUGAUUAGAGCUAUCACAAGCUGGUUUGAUAGAAUGAUAAAUUCGAUUUCCUUGGCUUGCUGUCACUUCAUAGGUUAAGCAUUGUGGGAACAUGAUAUUUCUACUCUUCCUGCUGCUUAAUUGGUUGUUACUUGAGCUUACAUUGUUGACUGGUUCAUCUUGGUUUACCAGAAUACCGAGUCAUUACUUGUUGGAGAUGCAGACGCUGGAGAAUGGAUUUCGGAUGUGGGAUUUGUUCACCAAUAUAAUAUAUAUUUCGAUUAUGGUGUACUUUCAUCAUGUUGAUCAAUCAGGGUUAUUGACAAAUUAACUUAGUGCAUUUGCUUUUUAUGAUUCAGAGGAUGCUGCAAAUAGAAGCAAAAGAUGUCCUACUCUUUUUUGUCCCAUGUGUUGUUGAGUGUGGCCAUUACUUCUGUUGUUACUGUAGUAUUUGGAAGGAUGUGGUGGGCAUCAUCUUCAAAAGGUUGGGUCAUUCGAUGCCUUCCUAGAUACAAGGUAUUUGAGGUUUUCAUUAUUGGUCAGGACUACUUUUUCCCCUUGUAUAUUGAUUUUAUAGGACUCAUCCACCUUUCAAGUCCUUUCACAGUUCUUCUUCAUUCUUGGGUUGUAUUAUUGGCUCAUCUUUCUGAUCCAUUAGUGCUCACAAUCGUGGUUUAUGCGUUAUUUGCGGUUCUCUGGUGUAUUUGUUCUCUUGCAUUUCUUUUCCAUUCUCCCUCCAAGCAAGUUUAGGUUUGUCUGUUAUAAUUCUGAUACACUGCAUCUGCUAUUAUACUUUCGGUGGUGAUCCCUUUUACAUCGAGUGCUUAUCUAGAUCUGGGAUAAUCUUGAUUUCUUGGUUAAUCUCAUGCAAUAUAUCAUCUUGUGAUUGAUGUUGGCAGUUGUUUCAUGAUUUCCUGUUGCAUCAGUGGCCUGGCGAUUCUCUCAUUUUCGACCAACACCUUGAGUUCUUAAUACAAUCUGGCUCCAUUGGAGAGUAUAUUUGUUUUUUCAUGAAGGGUUUUCUCGCUUUGAUUAUUGAAUUGAUUGUGCUAAUUUUUGGCCUUUAUGCUUUUAGUUCAGGUCUUUCUUAGUUUGUUAUUUGUGAUGUUGCAGAAGAGCUUACGCAACUUGGGAAAAUCUUGCUGAAGAGGUAUCUUCAUCUUAUAAUUGAAGGAAGCGCCGAGGAAAUGGAAUGCAAUGAUAUGUUUUUUUUUUUUACUGAAUAGAGUUUCUAAUCUUGAUAGCGGGGUUCAUUAUGCUUGCCUUUUCGUGCGGUAGCUGCUCAUGUGGAAACAUAAAGGUUAAUUUAUUAUUUGUGCUGUUGCAGUUUAGCUUGUGCUGCAGGAUACAAUUUUGCCCCAUAUUAGCCAAUAUAGAAGGAAUCGUCCUUAUUUAUAUCAUUGUUUGUAUUUGAUGCCUAUAUGUUUUUAAUCACCCUUUUUUCUCAAUAGGGUUUUCUUUUGGGCUCAUAUUUUAGCAAUCCUUUUAUUUGCUUCACCAGAACCUUGAUUUGAUCUGUGAAGGGCGAUACUAGAGGAAUUAGUGUUAAGAAAGGAUUUUUCAUGAUGAGGAUUCCUCACUUCCCCUGAUAAUCUAGGGGUCACGGUAUGUGGGGCUUGACAUGGGAUGCUAUCUUGAUAAGUGGAUCUGCUGCUUAUAUGCUUUGUCAAGUUUCAUUUCUGUAUUCCAGAAAUCUCAUUCAUUUGUGUUAUUAAUAACCUGGUGAUGUUCUCUUAUUUUUUUGACCAGAACCGUCAGCUCUCAAGACAUCUGUGUGGAUUGGAUCAUGAUAUGUGCUUUUGAUGGAGCGUGUUCCUCAACCUUUAUCAUAGAAUUGGUAAUAUUUCCCAUUUGUUCUUAAACUUAGAGUUCAAGUCAUAGGAUUGGUAUUUCUGAUGUCACAGAGAGCUUGCACAACAUCAGGUUAUCUUGCUCAAGUGCAUCUUUACCUGAUAAUGAAGACAGUUCGAAGGAAAUGUAAUGAUAUGAUUUUCUAUGGAGGGAGUUUCUCAUCUUUGAUAGACUACUUUUUCGUGCACUAGCUGUUCAUGGGGAACGUUGGAAGUUACUGUAUGGUUUGUGUUGUUGCAGUAACUUUGCUGUAGGUUAUUAUUUUGCCCAUGUGGAAGGGUUUGUCCUUAUUUAUAGCUUGGCCAUUUUCAACAUUAAUUUAUAAUUUGUCAAUCUUUGUUCUGAGCGCUGAAAGUUUGAGUAACUGGGAUUAAGGAAGGGUUUUUAAUGAAGGUGCUUCCUUCCACAAAUUCUUUAGGAGUCCAUGAUCUCAUUCAUCCCUGUUGAGUUGGUGACCUUGUGAGCUUCUCUCAUUUGUUUGACUUACUUGAGCGCUUGAGAGAUUUUGGGUGAAAGAGAGAAGGUAUGUUUUUUUUAAACUAUGGAGUGGGUUCCUUAAGCUCAUUAAUUUGUUACUGCUGGCAUUGCAUAGGAGCCUGUGCAUCGUGGGCAAUCUUGCUCAAAGGUACUCUUGAUCUGAUAAUGGAAAAUGGUUUGGAGGAAUGAAUUGAUGAAGGUUGUUCGUCAUCUUUGAUAGCGGAGUGAAUAUUUUCUAUUCUUUCCUCCACCAGCUGUUCAAAUUGAGGAGGUUAAUUUAUUAUUUGUUCUGUUGCUGAGUUUGUGCUGCAAAUCACAGUUUUACCCUUGUGGAAGGGUUUGUCUCUAAUUUAUAUCAUAGUUUUUGUUUGUAUACCUGUGUUCCUAAUUUCCAUAUUUCAAUCUUAAUUGGGAAUCUGUCGAUCUAUAUUUUCAGCACCGUGAUUUUAUUUUUGGGUGACUAUCUUAGCAACCCUUUUGUUCGCUUUUCAGCACCUCAGUUUGAUCAGUGAAGGCAACAUGGCGGGUUAGAGUUAAGGAAGAAAUUUUCAUGAAUCACUUCGCAGAUAAAGGUUGGGAUCUUUCAGUUUAUGUUGUGUGGGUUGGAUCCAUAAGAUACCACAGCUUUUGAUGUUCUAUAAUUCACCGAAAUGAGUUGGUAGUUCGAUCCUUUUGAUUCUUAUCCUCCUUGUAACAGGCAUCCUGAGCAAUACGUUGUUUUACAUAUAAAUUUGAUUAUGCUAUUGUUUCUCUCUAUCUACAAUGUGUCAUUAAAGAGUUGAAGAAUAGUUAACUAGUAUGAGAGCAUCUCAUUUUUUGGUACGGUAUUUAUUGUAUUAUUGUUAUCUAUUCAGACUGUUAGUUUCUUGAUUGCUUGUUUAUCAAGAAUGUGGCAUAUAGGAUGCACAUUAUUUUUUGAUAAGGUCUGACUCGAACUUUUUGAAUCUUGUUGGUAACUGCCGCACUGAAGGGAAAAUGCAAACAAGGAGCAGGGGGAGGGCAGUAAGGAAAUAUGGGUGGGGAAACAUGGAUGGUCUAACAUACCUCAUUCAUGGGGACAUUGAGGGAAUUGGUGUUACAUAGUAUAAUAUCAUUGGGAUUAUUGAUGGUUUUUGUGUACUAUAGGUUAUGGAGGUAAGUAGAUUAUGGGUUUGGUUAUCUGUGAUGAUCCUUUUUUUUUAUUUUCAUAGGGUUGAAGGUAUCUGCUAGCUUGUAUUCAUCUUUAUGCAGUGCCAGUUCAUAAAGCAUAUAAUAUGGAGUCUAUUUUGUUUAGUGGCUUUGUAGCUUUGUCUCUUGGUUCCAGAAUAUAUUCAUUCCCAUUUAUCUAGUAAGCUUGCGAUCAUCUCUCAUUUCUAUGACCCGCUCCUUGAUCAUUAUAGGAUGUAUGCACUAAUUGGAGUAUGAUAUGACCAUUUUCACUGGCAUCAUUUUUAGCCUUGAGUUUAGAAUCAGUUAUAGUUGUUUUCUCCUGAUACUUAAGAGUUUAUAUGAUAGGAUAACUUGUUAUUUCUGUUGUUGCAGAAAAGCCAGUGCAAGUGGGAAACAAUCUAUCUCAGGGGUAUCUUGAUCUUGAAGGCUAUAUAAAAACUGGAGUUUAAUGUUGUGAUUUUUUAUUAAGGGGAUCGAAAUGUUUGUUAGUGGAGUUUACUAUAUUUUUUUGUUCACAAACUAUUCACAUGGAAGAUUAAUUUAUUAUUUCUGCCGUCGCAGAUGUGCUUGUAUUGCGGGAUGCAAUUUUUCCAAGGCAGAAGAGCAGGGUGUGUCCUUUAUAUCCUAGUCAUUGUUUUUGUGCAUUUGUGUACCAAAUAGUCGCCCUGUUCCAUUAUUGGCUUGUGUUCUCUUAAUGGGUCUGGUCCCUUGGUAGAUUUUGGAAAAUGCUGGAUUAUGAUUUGUAAUGAGCUUUAUUUUCUUCCUGUUAGAUUUGCACUAUACUUUUUCUUGUAUUGAUAAUCGUGCUAUUAUAUAUUGUAGGCAAUGGUGUGUCUUAGAAGUUAGAGCUGAUAUAAGUUCUUCUUUUGAUAAGUGACUUAGUAGCUGCUAGACUUAAAUCUGGGUUUGUUUUUUCAUCCUUGUUCCAAUUACUCAAAUAUUUCUUUAUUAUUGGUAAUCCUGUCGUUUUCCUCACCAGAACUAUGAUUUGAUUCGUGAAGGCAUAAUGGAGCAAUCCAAGUGGAGCAGUGAUUUUUCGUGCAUUGGUGCAUAUGUGAAUUGAUUUUUAUUCUGCUACUGCUGAGUGACUUAGUAUCUGUUAGUCUAUUCUGUUCAUCUUUGUUCCUCAUGCUCUAACUUUUGAUAUGGAUUACUCUUUUGCUUCACUAGAAAUUUGAUUUGAUCUGUGAAAGCAUCAUGGGGGAAUCCAAGGGAAGAAGCAAUUUGUAAUUAUGAGAGUAGUACUGUAGGUGACAUUUCAGCUGAUGAACAGAGGGGGCUCACUGGCUUAUGUCAUUUCAUUGUAUUUUAAUCAUCAUUUACAUACUGUUGGCUUCUUUAAUUUCAUUAUCAGUAUCAAUAUUAUUGGUGGUUUUACUCUAUUCUUGCUUGCAAGCGGAUGUAGAUUUCUUGAAGAUUUGCAUUUAUUAUGGUAGUGAGUUUCUUGAAGAUUUGCAGCAAUUUUUUUGACUUGGUUUUAGUGUUUACAGAAUUAGAAGCUGUUUGUUCUUGUUUGUGUGUUUGACAAUCGAAUAUGGUUUCUUGUGAUCUUCUUUUUGAAAAUAAUGCAAGUGGUUGAGUUUUUUUUUGGAACUGGGAGUGCUCUUUUGUUAAACUACAGGCAUUUCUUGUAAUGUGUUUUGAUCAGUUUUUGAAUAUCGCCAAUCCAACAAUAUGAGUUCAGACUUGCUUAUGAUUUUCCUGCUGCCAGUUUUACAGUUUUUGGUAUUCAUUUUUACAAUAUUAUUUUCAGUUUGAAAGCAUCACACAAGCAUUAUUUUGCAGCCUGAUGAGUGUUUUCUGAUGUUUCUGAUACUAAUACUCGAAAGAGAUGUUCCUGAUUCCAAUUCAAUGUUACUUUAGAUUCCAUCUUCCAGUGUUGGACAAGAUAGGCAUGAUUCAGAGGCUGAAAUUGAGGUUGGAGAUUUGCAGUAGUUGUGGAAUCUUCUGUGACUUGGUUGUUAGGGUUCACAAAAUUAGGAGCUGUUUGUUCUUGUUUGAGGAUUUCACAGUUGAAUCUGGUUUAUUGUGAUUUAGUUUACUUUUUUUUUUCCCUAAAAAAGAAAAUCCAAGUGGUCAGGUUUCUUUCUUAUGGAAGUGGUAGUGCUCCAUUGUUAAUCUGCAGGAAUCAGCCAUGGUGUAUUCUUAUUGGAUCUUUGAGUAUUGCCAAUCCGACAGUCCGAGUUCAGAUUUACUUCAUGAUUUUCUUGUAUUCAGUUGAAGCACUGGUGCCGGGGUUAUGAGUUUUAAGUAUUUAUUUUAAUAAUCCUUUCAGCGUGCAAUCUUCGUGGAAGGGGUUUCUGAUGUUGAUACUCAUGCUUGAUGCUUCUGAUUGUGAGUUGUUAUUUCAGUUUCCAUAUUUUGAUGUUGGACAUGAGAAGUCUUUCAUGGGGGUUUCUUCUUCUUUAUAGUUGUUUCUCUUCGUAUUUUUAUUUUUAUUUUUAUUUUUUCAAGUAAGGUUUUGUAUGGUUAUUAUCAUCUGUCUAUUCCCUGGGGAUUUCUUGAAGAUUUGCAGUAAUCUAGGGAACCAGGGAAUUCUUGGAGAUUUGCAGUGAAUUUCUUGAAGAUUUUCUUGAAGAUUGCAGUAAUUAAGGUUUCGAAUUUCUUGAGGAUUUGCAAUAGUUUGGUAUUUCUCUAUGACAUGGUUUAGGGUUUGCAGAAUUAGAGGCAGUUUGUUCUUCUUUGAGAAUUCGUCGAUAUGAGGUUUGAACCCAUUUUUUCGUGAUUUUGGUUUCCUUUUUGAAAAGGAAUUUAAUUGGUUCAGGUAUCUUAUGAAACUGGAAGUGCCUCUUCAUUAAUCUACAGGAAUCAGCAGUGUUGUGUUUUAAUUGGAUUCUGAUUGUUGCCCAUCCGACUGUGCAAGUUCUGGCUUGCCUCAUGAUUUUCUUAUAUUUGGUUGAAGAAUUGUUGUGGGAUUAUGAAAUUUUAGUUUUUUUUAAAAUAUAUUAAGGUCAGUUUGAAAACAUCAGAGAAGCAUUAUCUUGCAGACCAGGGAAGCAUGAUUUUGAGGCUGGAAUUCAGAUAGAUUGAUUUCUUGUGAAGGGGGUUUGUCUAUCGCUUGGAUAUGAUGAAAAUAUUAUUGUGCAAGAAACAAAGACUUCUGAUGAUGUUCAUGCCAAAUCAUGGUUCUUGAUUCUUGAUGGUUGCUUUAGGUUCCAUCGUGAAAGGGAUGCCCUUGUUAUCCAAUUCAAACAAAAGAGAUGAUGUAGAGGCAGGGAAUCAGAUUGUUUCUUUUUGAGUGGAUUCCUUUUCCUUUCGUAUUAUUCUUGAUCAGAUAUUGUGAUUUGAAUAAUUGGUUCGAUUCUGAGAAGCAAUAUGUGAUCAGAGAGAUGAUUCAUUUAACCUCCUGUUUUUGAUGAAAUUUGCAGUUAUAUCCAUUGAAGUGUUAAAUUGCAUUGAUUCUUUUACCUGAUUAGAGCUAUCACUUGCUGGUUUGAUAGAAUGAUAAAUUCCAUUUCCUUGGCUUGCUGUCACUUCAUAGGUUAAGCAUUGUGGGAACAUGAUAUUUCUAUUCUUCCUGCUGCUUAAUUGGUUGUUACUUGAGCUUACAUUGCUGCUGGUUCAUCUUGGUUUACCAGAAUACCGAGUCAUUACUUGAUGGAGAUGCAGAGGCUGGAGAAUGGAUCUCGGAUGGGAUUUGUUCACCAAUAUAUAUUUCGAUUUUGGUGUACUUUCAUCAUGUUGAUCAAUCAGGGUUAUUGACAAAUUAACUUAUUGCAUUUGCUUUUUAUGAUUCAGAGGAUGCUGCAAAUAGAAGCGAAAGAUGUCCUACUCUUUUUUGUCCCAUAUGUUGUUUAAUGUGGCCGUUAGUUCUGUUGUUACUGUAGUAUUUGGAAGGAUGUGGUGCACAUCAUCUUCAAAAGGUUGGGUCAUUCGAUGCCUCCCUAGAUACAAGGUAUUUGAGGUUUUCAUUAUUGGUCAGGACUAUUUUUUCUCCUUGUAUAUUGAUUUUUUAGGACUCAUCCACCUUCCAAGUCCUUUCACAGUUCUUCUUCAUUCUUGGGUUGUAUUAUUGGCUCAUCUUUCUGAUCCAUUAGUGCUCACAAUCGUGGUUUAUGCGUUAUUUGCGGUUCUCUGGUGUAUUUGUGCUCUUGCAUGUCUUUUUCAUUCUUCCUCCAAGCAAGUUUAGGUUUGUCUGUGAUAAUUCUGAUACACACUGCAUCUGCUACUAUACUUUCGGUGGUGAUCCCUUUUACAUCGAGUGCUUAUCUAGAUCUGGGAUAAUCUUGAUUUCUUGGUUAAUCUCAUGCAAUAUAUCAUCUUGUGAUUGAUGUUGGCAGUUGUUUCAUGAUUUCCUGUUGCAUCAGUGGCCUGGUGAUUCUCUCAUUUUCGACCAACACCUUGAGUUCUGAAUACAAUCUGGCUCCAUUGGAGAGUAUAUUUGUUUUUUCAUGAAGGGUUUCCUCACUUUGAUUAUUGAAUUGAUUGUGGUAAUUUUUGGCCUUUAUGCUUUUAGUUCAGGUCUUUCUUAGUUUGUUAUUUGUGAUGUUGCAGAAGAGCUUAUGCAACUUGGGAAAAUCUUGCUGAAGGGGUGUCUUCAUCUGAUAAUUGAAGGAAGUGCAGAGGAAAUGGAAUGCAAUGAUAUGAUUUUUUUUUUUUUUACUGAAUAGAGUUUCUAAUCUUGAUAGCGGGGUUCAUUAUGCUUGCUUUUUCGUGCAGUAGCUGUUCUUGUGGAAACAUAAAGGUUAAUUUAUUAUUUCUGCUGUUGCAGUUUAGCUUGUGCUGCAGGAUACAAUUUUGCCCCAUAUUAGCCAAUAUAGAAGGAAUCGUCCUUAUUUAUAUCAUUGUUUGUGUUUGAUGCCUAUAUGUUCCUAACUACCUUUUUUUCUCAAUAGAGUUUUCUUUUGGGUUUGUAUUUUAGCAAUCCUUUUAUUUGCUUCAUCAGAACCUUGAUUUGAUCCGUGAAGGGCAAUAUUAGAGGAAUUAGGGUUGAGAAAGGAUUCCUCAUGAUGAUGAGUGUUCCUCACUUCCCCUGAUAAUCUAGGGGUCACAGUAUGUGGGGCUUGACAUGGAUGCUAUCUCGAUAAGUUGAUCUGCUGCUUAUAUGCUUUGUCAAGUUUCAUUUCUGUAUUCCAGAAAUCUCAUUCAUUUGUGUUAUUAAUAGCCUGGUGACCUUCUCUCAUUUUUUUGGCCAGAACCAUCAGCUCUCAAGGCAUCUGGGUGGAUUGGAUCAUGAUAUGUGCUUUUGAUGGAGGGUGUUCUUCAACCUUUAUUAUGGAAUUGGUAAUAUUUCCCAUUUGUUCUUAAACUUAGCGUUCAAGUCAUUGGAUUGUUAUUUCUGAUGUCACAGAGAGCUUGCACAACAUCAAGUUAUCUUGCUCAAGGGCAUCUUUACCUGAUAAUGAAGACAGUUCGAAGGAAAUGUAAUGAUAUGAUUUUUUAUGGAGAGGUUUUCUCAUCUUGAUAGACUACUUUUUCGUACACUAGCUGUUCAUGAGGAACGAUGAAAGUUACUGUACGGUUUGUGUUCUUGCAGUAGCUUUGCUGUAGGUUAUUAUUUUGCCCAUGUGGAAGGGUUUGUCCAUAUUUAUAGCUGGCCAUUUUCAACAUUAAUUUAUAGUUUGUCAAUCUUUGUUCUGACUCACUGAAAGUUUGAGUAACUGGGAUUAAGAAAGGGUUCUUCAUGAUGGUGCUUCCUUACUUCCACAAAUUCUUGAGUAGUCCAUGAUCUCAUUCAUCCCUGUUGCAGCUUGUGCAUCAUGGGCAAUCUUGCUCAAAGGUACUCUUGAUCUGAUAAUGGAAAAUGGUUUGGAGGAAUGAAUUGAUGAAGGUUGUUUGUCAUCUUUGAUAGUGGAGUGAAUAUUUUCUAUUCUUUCCUGCACUAGCUGUUCAAACUGAGGAGGUUAAUUUAUUAUUCGUUCUGUUGCAGAGUUUGUGCUGCAAAUUACAGUUGUACCCUUGUGGAGGGGUUUGUCCCUAAUUUAUGUCAUGAUUUUUGUUUGUAUACCUUUAUGUUCUUAAUUUCCAUUUUUCAAUCUUAAUUUGGAAUCUGUUGACCUAUAUUCUCAGCACUGUGAUGUUAAUUUUGGGUGACUAUCUUAGCAACCCUUUUGUUUGCUUUUCAGCACCUCAGUUUGAUCAAUGAAGGCAACAUGGAGGGUUAGAGUUAAGGAAGAAAUUUUCAUGAAUCACUUUGAAGAUAAAGGUUUGGACCUUUCAGUUUAUGUUGUGUGGGUUAGGUCCAUAACAUACCACAGCUUUUGGUGUUCUAUAAUUCACCGAAAUGAGUUAGUAGUUCGAUCCUUUUGAUUCUUAUCUUCCUUGUAACAGGCAUCCUGAGCAAUAUGUUGUUUUACAUAUAAAUUUGAUUGUGCUAUUGUUUCUCUCUAUCUACAAUAUCACAUUAAAGUGUUGAAGAAUAGUUAAUUAGUAUGAGAGCAUCUCAUUUUUUGGUAUGGUAUUUAUUGUAUUAUUGUUAUCUAUUCAGACUGUUAGUUUCUUGAUUGCUUGUUUAUCAAGAAUGUGGCAUAUGGGAUGCACAUUUUUUUUUUGGUAAGAAAGAGCUCAAACUUUUUGAUCUUGUUGGUAACCACCGCACUGAAGGGAAAAUGCAAACAUUGAACAGGAGGAGGGCCGGGUAAGGAAACACGGGUGGGGAAACAUGGAUGGUCUAACAUACCUCAUGCACAGGGACAUUGAGGGAAUUGGUGUUACAUAAUAGAAUAUCAAUGGGAUUAUUGAUGGUUUUUGUGUACUAUAGGUUAUGGAGGUAAGUAGAUUCUGGAUUUGGUUAUCUGUGAUGUUCCUUUUUUUUAUAUUCAUGGGGUUGAAGGUUUCUUCUAGCUUGUCUUCAUCUUUAUGCAGUGCCAGUUCUUUAGGAGCCAAAGCAUAUAAUAUGGAGGCUAUUUUGUUAAGUGGCUUUGUAGCUUUAGCUCUUGGUUCCAGAAUAUAUUCAUUCCUAUUGAUCUAGUAAGCUUGUGAUCAUCUCGCAUUUCUUUGACCUGCUCCUUGAUCGUUAUUGGAUGUAUGCACUAUUUGGAGUAUGAUAUGACCGUUUUCAUUGGCGUUAUCCUUAGCCUUGAUUUUAGAAUCAGUUAUAGUUGUUUUCUCCUGAAUCAGUUAUAGUUGUUUUCUCUUGAUACUUAAAGAGUUUAUAUGAUCGGAUAACUUGUUAUUUCUGUUGUUGCAGAAAAGCCAGUGCAAGUGGGAAACAAUCUAUCUCAGGGGUAUCUUGAUCUUGAAGGCUAUAUAAAAACUGGAGUUUAAUGUUGUGAUUUUUUAUUAAGGGGAUCGAAAUGUUUGUUCGUGGAGUUUGCUAUAUUUUUUUGUUCACAAACUAUUCUCAUGGAAGAUUAAUUUAUUAUUUCUGCUGUCGCAGAUGUGCUUAUAUUUGCAGGAUGCAAUUUUUCCAAGGCAGAAGAGCAGAGUGUGUCCUUUAUAUUCGAGUCAUUGUUUAUGUGCAUUUGUGUACCAAAUAGUCGCCUUGUUCCAUUAUUGGCUUGUGUUCUCUUAAUGGAUCUGGUCCCUUGGUAGAUUUUGGAAAAUGCUGGAUUAUGAUUUGUAAUGAGCUUCAUUUUCUUCCUGAUGGAUUUGCACUAUACUUUUUCUUGUAUUGAUAAUCAUGCUAUUAUAUAUUGUAGGCAGUGCUGUGUCUUAGAACUGAUAUAAGUUCUUCUAUUGAUAAGUGACUUGGUGGCUGCUACACUUAAUCUGGGUUUGUUUUUUCAUCUUGUUCCAAUUACUCAAAUAUUUCUUUAUCUUUGGUAAUCCUGUCAUUUGCGUCACUAGAACUGUGAUUUGAUCGGUGAAGGCAUAAUAGAGCAAUACAAGUGGAGCAGUGAUUUUUCGUGCAUUGGUGCGUAUGGGAAUUGAUAUAUAUUCUGCUACCGCUGAGUGACUUAGUAUCUGUUACAUUUUAUCUGGGUCUAUUUUGUUUUUCUUUGUUCCUAAUGCUUUGACUUCUGAUAUGGGUUAGUACUUCAGUAUUUAUCUCUUAUGCUUCACCAGAAAUUUGAUUUGAUCAGUGAAGGUACCAUGGGGGAAUCCAAGGGGAGA